This 253-nucleotide ribosomal RNA is filed under the name uncultured bacterium. Its description in RNAcentral is "partial 16S ribosomal RNA". It matches the Rfam family "Bacterial small subunit ribosomal RNA", at positions 80 to 334 of the family's 1533-position model. The record is from RNAcentral.
CUUCUUUGCUGGCGACCGGCGCACGGGUGAGUAACACGUAUCCAACCUGCCCUUUACUCGGGGAUAGCCUUUCGAAAGAAGGAUUAAUACCCGAUGGCAUAAUGAUUCCGCAUGGUUUCAUUAUUAAAGGAUUCCGGUAAAGGAUGGGGAUGCGUUCCAUUAGGUUGUUGGUGAGGUAACGGCCCACCAAGCCUUCGAUGGAUAGGGGUUCUGAGAGGAAGGUCCCCCACAUUGGAACUGAGACACGGUCCAA